RNAcentral lists this microRNA (22 nucleotides) under Macaca mulatta (Rhesus monkey). RNAcentral describes it as "mml-miR-7168-5p". Lineage: Eukaryota; Metazoa; Chordata; Mammalia; Primates; Cercopithecidae. The record is from miRBase by way of RNAcentral.
CAUUUUACAGAUUAAAUAGUGA